AUACGUAGGGGGCGAGCGUUGUCCGGAAUGACUGGGCGUAAAGGGCGUGUAGGCGGCCGAUUAAGUCUGGAGUGGAAGUCCUGCUUUCAAGGUGGGAAUUGCUUUGGAGACUGGUUGGCUUGAGUGCGGAAGAGGUAAGUGGAAUUCCCAGUGUAGCGGUGAAAUGCGUAGAGAUUGGGAGGAACACCAGUGGCGAAGGCGACUUACUGGGCCGUAACUGACGCUGAGGCGCGAAAGCGUGGGGAGCGAACAGGAUUAGAUACCCUGGUAGUCCACGCGGUAAACGAUGAAUGCUAGGUGUAGGGGGUAUCGACCCCUCCUGUGCCGGAGUGAACACAAUAAGCAUUCCGCCUGGGGAGUACGGCCGCAAGGUUGAAACUUAAAGGAAUUGGCGGGG
RNAcentral lists this ribosomal RNA (397 nucleotides) under uncultured bacterium. Its description in RNAcentral is "partial 16S ribosomal RNA". It matches the Rfam family "Bacterial small subunit ribosomal RNA", at positions 523 to 918 of the family's 1533-position model. The record is from RNAcentral.